CUACGGAACUCCUACGGGAGGCAGCAGUGGGGAAUAUUGCACAAUGGGGGAAACCCUGAUGCAACCAUGCCGCGUGUGUGAAGAAGGCCUUCGGGUUGUAAAGCACUUUCAGUAGGGAGGAAAGGGUGUAGUUUAAUACGCUAUAUCUGUGACGUUACCUACAGAAGAAGGACCGGCUAACUCCGUGCCAGCAGCCGCGGUAAUACGGAGGGUCCGAGCGUUAAUCGGAAUUACUGGGCGUAAAGCGUGCGCAGGCGGUUUGUUAAGCGAGAUGUGAAAGCCCUGGGCUCAACCUAGGAAUAGCAUUUCGAACUGGCGAACUAGAGUCUUGUAGAGGGGGGUAGAAUUCCAGGUGUAGCGGUGAAAUGCGUAGAGAUCUGGAGGAAUACCGGUGGCGAAGGCGGCCCCCUGGACAAAGACUGACGCUCAUGCACGAAAGCGUGGGGAGCAAACAGGAUUAGAUACCCCUGUAGUCCUCUUCGA
This 483-nucleotide ribosomal RNA is filed under the name uncultured bacterium. Its description in RNAcentral is "bacterial SSU rRNA". It matches the Rfam family "Bacterial small subunit ribosomal RNA", at positions 328 to 803 of the family's 1533-position model. The record is from RNAcentral.